GUCCUGAUAAUGCUUCCUGUCAUCUUUAGGACUACGUCCUCGAUUCAUCUACCAGUACUCCAUCAUCGAGGUUAGCGGGCUGCCAAGCUGACCAAACUGGCCCUGAAAGCAGCCGUUGUGAAGUAAACCAACAUCAAAAUAGUCAACAAAAGAAAAACAACUUACCAAAACCAAGAUGGCGGCCUACAUAUGGUGUCCUCUACUACCUGCUCCUGAC
Molecule: long non-coding RNA, 217 nt
Filed under: Mytilus galloprovincialis (Mediterranean mussel)
Lineage: Eukaryota; Metazoa; Mollusca; Bivalvia; Mytilida; Mytilidae
Source: RNAcentral